Molecule: ribosomal RNA, 468 nt
Filed under: uncultured bacterium
Lineage: Bacteria
Description: partial 16S ribosomal RNA
Rfam family: Bacterial small subunit ribosomal RNA
Source: RNAcentral
ACGCACGCUGGCGGCGUGCUUCACCCCUGCCAGUCGAACGGAAAGGCCCUGCUUUUGUGGGGUGCUCGAGUGGCGAACGGGUGAGUAACACGUGAGUAACCUGCCCUUGACUUUGGGAUAACUUCAGGAAACUGGGGCUAAUACCGGAUAGGAGCUCCUGCUGCAUGGUGGGGGUUGGAAAGUUUCGGCGGUUGGGGAUGGACUCGCGGCUUAUCAGCUUGUUGGUGGGGUAGUGGCUUACCAAGGCUUUGACGGGUAGCCGGCCUGAGAGGGUGACCGGCCACAUUGGGACUGAGAUACGGCCCAGACUCCUACGGGAGGCAGCAGUGGGGAAUAUUGCACAAUGGGCGGAAGCCUGAUGCAGCAACGCCGCGUGCGGGAUGACGGCCUUCGGGUUGUAAACCGCUUUCGCCUGUGACGAAGCGUGAGUGACGGUAAUGGGUAAAGAAGCACCGGCUAACUACGUGC